CCUACGGGUGGCAGCAGUGAGGAAUAUAGGUCAAUGGGCUUACGCCUGAACCAGCCAAGUCGCGUGAGGGAAGACUGCCCUAUGGGUUGUAAACUUCUUUUAUAAAGGAAUAAAACGAGGCACGUGUGCCUUUUUGCAUGUACUUUAUGAAUAAGGAUCGGCUAACUCCGUGCCAGCAGCCGCGGUAAUACGGAGGAUCCGAGCGUUAUCCGGAUUUAUUGGGUUUAAAGGGAGCGUAGAUGGGUUGUUAAGUCAGUUGUGAAAGUUUGCGGCUCAACCGUAAAAUUGCAAUUGAUACUGGCAGUCUUGAGUACAGUUAAGGUAGGCGGAAUUCGUGGUGUAGCGGUGAAAUGCUUAGAUAUCACGAAGAACCCCGAUUGCGAAGGCAGCUUACUAAACUGUGACUGACAUUGAUGCUCGAAAGUGUGGGUAUCAAACAGGAUUAGAUACCCCUGUAGUC
RNAcentral lists this ribosomal RNA (460 nucleotides) under uncultured bacterium. Its description in RNAcentral is "partial 16S ribosomal RNA". It matches the Rfam family "Bacterial small subunit ribosomal RNA", at positions 338 to 795 of the family's 1533-position model. The record is from RNAcentral.